AAUUUUGGACAAUGGGGGAAACCCUGAUCCAGCCAUCCCGCGUGUAUGAUGAAGGCCUUCGGGUUGUAAAGUACUUUUGGCAGAGAAGAAAAGGUAUCCCCUAAUACGGGAUACUGCUGACGGAAUCUGAAGAAUAAGCACCGGCUAACUAUGUGCCAGCAGCCGCGGUCAUACGUAGGGUGCAAGCGUUAAUCGGAAUUACUGGGCGUAAAGCAUGUGUAGGCGGUUCGGAAAGAAAGAUGUGAAGUCCCAGGGAUGAACCUUAGAACUGCAUUGUUAACUACCGGGCUAGAGUAUGUCAGAGGAGGGUAGAAUUCCACGUGUAGCAGUGAGAUGCGUAGAUAUGUGAAGGAAUACCGAUGGCGAAGGCAGCCCCCUGGGAUAAUACUGACGCUCAGACACGAAAGCGUGGGGAGCAAACAGG
Molecule: ribosomal RNA, 424 nt
Filed under: uncultured bacterium
Lineage: Bacteria
Description: partial 16S ribosomal RNA
Rfam family: Bacterial small subunit ribosomal RNA
Source: RNAcentral